RNAcentral lists this ribosomal RNA (468 nucleotides) under uncultured bacterium. Its description in RNAcentral is "partial 16S ribosomal RNA". It matches the Rfam family "Bacterial small subunit ribosomal RNA", at positions 28 to 507 of the family's 1533-position model. The record is from RNAcentral.
GACGAACGCUGGCGGCGUGCUUAACACAUGCAAGUCGAACGGAAAGGCCCUGCUUUUGUGGGGUGCUCGAGUGGCGAACGGGUGAGUAACACGUGAGUAACCUGCCCUUGACUUUGGGAUAACUUCAGGAAACUGGGGCUAAUACCGGAUAGGAGCUCCUGCUGCAUGGUGGGGGUUGGAAAGUUUCGGCGGUUGGGGAUGGACUCGCGGCUUAUCAGCUUGUUGGUGGGGUAGUGACUUACCAAGGCUUUGACGGGUAGCCGGCCUGAGAGGGUGACCGGCCACAUUGGGACUGAGAUACGGCCCAGACUCCUACGGGAGGCAGCAGUGGGGAAUAUUGCACAAUGGGCGGAAGCCUGAUGCAGCGACGCCGCGUGCGGGAUGACGGCCUUCGGGUUGUAAACCGCUUUCGCCUGUGACGAAGCGUGAGUGACGGUAAUGGGUAAAGAAGCACCGGCUAACUACGUG